Molecule: unclassified non-coding RNA, 137 nt
Filed under: soil metagenome
Description: partial internal transcribed spacer 1
Source: RNAcentral
CUGGGUGGCUUCGGCCUAAACCCCCUAACCAUUGUGAAACGAUUCCAGCGGCUUAGCUGGUGGCAGGUGAAUAACUGCCCCUGGCGGCACGCGAGACUCUUCUAAUGUUAUCUCUGAGUUACUUUUUAAAUAAGUCA